This is a long non-coding RNA of Aphis gossypii (cotton aphid), 315 nucleotides long. RefSeq lists it as uncharacterized. The transcript is spliced from 2 exons. NCBI's taxonomy places the organism in Eukaryota, Metazoa, Arthropoda, Insecta, Hemiptera, Aphididae. The record is from RefSeq and is a predicted model, not a curated record.
ACAAUACUCAAUGCCUAAUUGAUUUUUAUUAUUUAGUCUUCACGUACAAGGUACAAUAGUUUACAUCAUAAUUUAUAAAUUGCUUAUGUAUGUCGAUGUAUGCAGACAAAAACCUAGGUACUAAAAGAAUCUAAUAAAUUCCACUUUAAAUAGUGCGCUCAAUACACUUUAUUCACCUGCAUUAUACGAACUGUCCCACGGGAAUGGAGUCCUUACGGGAUCUCUGCUAAAUUUCAAAAACCUAUAAGGGCCGACGUUGAGCCCAGCUGGAUCAACAGUUUGGUCCCAACGAACGUUUGUGUCUAUCAAACCAAG